Non-coding RNA from Pholiota molesta, 88 nucleotides. Lineage: Eukaryota; Fungi; Basidiomycota; Agaricomycetes; Agaricales; Strophariaceae. The record is from the annotation of a GenBank genome assembly.
GGCCGUGUGGCGAAAUGGCAUCGCGUCUGACUACGAUUAACAUUCGAGGCGUAUCAGGAGAUUGCAGGUUCGAGACCUGUCUCGGUCA